This 555-nucleotide ribosomal RNA is filed under the name uncultured fungus. RNAcentral's name for it is "SSU rRNA". It matches the Rfam family "Eukaryotic small subunit ribosomal RNA", at positions 20 to 575 of the family's 1831-position model. Lineage: Eukaryota; Fungi. The record is from RNAcentral.
GUAGUCAUAUGCUUGUCUCAAAGAUUAAGCCAUGCAUGUCUAAGUAUAAACAAAUUUGUACUGUGAAACUGCGAAUGGCUCAUUAAAUCAGUUAUAGUUUAUUUGAUGGUACAUUACUACAUGGAUAACUGUGGUAAUUCUAGAGCUAAUACAUGCGUUAAAAUCCCGACUUACGAAGGGAUGUAUUUAUUAGAUACAAAACCAAUUCGUGGCAACACGAUAUUGGUGAGUCAUAAUAACUUUUCGAAUCGCAUGGCCUUGAGCCGGCGAUGCAUCAUUCAAAUAUCUGCCCUAUCAACUUUGGAUGGUAGGAUAGAGGCCUACCAUGGUUUUAACGGGUAACGGGGAAUAAGGGUUCGAUUCCGGAGAGGGAGCCUGAGAAACGGCUACCACAUCCAAGGAAGGCAGCAGGCGCGCAACUUACCCAAUCCCGACACGGGGAGGUAGUGACAAUAAAUAACAAUACAGGGCUCUUUUGGGUCUUGUAAUUGGAAUGAGUACAAUUUAAAUACCUUAACGAGGAACAAUUGGAGGGCAAGUCUGGUGCCAGCAGCC